RNAcentral lists this ribosomal RNA (584 nucleotides) under uncultured archaeon. Its description in RNAcentral is "bacterial SSU rRNA". It matches the Rfam family "Archaeal small subunit ribosomal RNA", at positions 62 to 651 of the family's 1478-position model. The record is from RNAcentral.
GAGGGUUCGGCCCUCGGCAGACGGCUCAGUAACACGUGGAUAAUCUACCCUUAGGUGGAGGAUACCCUCGGGAAACUGAGAAUAAUACUCCAUAGAUUUAGAAGGCUGGAAUGCAUCUAAAUUAAAAGCUCCGGCGCCUAAGGAUGAGUCUGCGGACUAUCAGGUUGUAGUCAGGGUAAUGACCUGACUAGCCUACGACGGAUACGGGUUGUGAGAGCAAUAGCCCGGAGACGAUAUCUGAGACACGAUAUCGGGCCCUACGGGGCGCAGCAGGCGCGAAACCUUCACAAUGUGCGAAAGCACGAUGAGGGGAUCCCAAGUGCUGGCUCGUAAGAGUCAGCUGUUUCUCUGUCUAAAAAACAGAGAGAGUAAGAGCUGGGUAAGACGGGUGCCAGCCGCCGCGGUAAUACCUGCAGCUCAAGUGGUGGUCGCUAUUAUUGGGCCUAAAACGUUCGUAGCCGGUUUAGUAAAUGCCUGGGUAAAUUGUAUGGCUUAACCAUACAAAUUCCGGGUAGACUGCUACACUUGGGACCGGGAGAGGCUAGAGGUACUCCUGGGGUAGAGGUGAAAUUCUGUAAUCCUAG